Rhea pennata is the source of this 449-nucleotide long non-coding RNA. RefSeq lists it as uncharacterized. The transcript is spliced from 2 exons. Lineage: Eukaryota; Metazoa; Chordata; Aves; Rheiformes; Rheidae. The record is from RefSeq and is a predicted model, not a curated record.
GCACUGCUUGUCUGGCAGCGCUGGUUCAGAGCAGAGGUACCAGCAGCAUCACAGGACGUGUUUUGCGCCUCUUCCCUUCUGCUGAGGAUGAAGCAUUACGGGGUUAAUAAAAAGCUGCAUCAUCCACUUUUGUGAGCUCCAGAGCACACCUUCACAAGAAGUCCAUAGAGCACGUUAUCAUCCGCGAUAAUUUCCGCUGUGAAGCAUCCACCGCGAGCACGUUGACGCGCUGCGCCCGCCUCCGCCUGCUUCUGCAGAACGAAGGGACGGUUUUGAAGCACCGAAUUGGUCCUCCACGUCCAUUAAUGCCCGGCGUAAGCCCGGACUGGGCCUCGUUCGGUACCCGAGCCACGUAGGACUGGCCGCGUCGCGGGCGGGUUUGCGGGGGGCCGGUCUGGCAGAGGAUAUUCUGAAUGAAUAUCAAUAGGCAAAUAUACACAAUAUGCAUA